This 468-nucleotide ribosomal RNA is filed under the name uncultured bacterium. Its description in RNAcentral is "partial 16S ribosomal RNA". It matches the Rfam family "Bacterial small subunit ribosomal RNA", at positions 28 to 507 of the family's 1533-position model. The record is from RNAcentral.
GACGAACGCUGGCGGCGUGCUUAACACAUGCAAGUCGAACGGAAAGGCCCUGCUUUUGUGGUGUGCUCGAGUGGCGAACGGGUGAGUAACACGUGAGUAACCUGCCCUUGACUUUGGUAUAACUUCAGGAAACUGGGGCUUAUACCGGAUAGGAGCCCCUGCUGCAUGGUGGGGGUUGGAAAGUUUCGGCGGUUGGGGAUGGACUCGCGGCUUAUCAGCUUGUUGGUGGGGUAGUGGCUUACCAAGGCUUUGACGGGUAGCCGGCCUGAGAGGGUGACCGGCCACAUUGGGACUGAGAUACGGCCCAGACUCCUACGGGAGGCAGCAGUGGGGAAUAUUGCACAAUGGGCGGAAGCCUGAUGCAGCAACGCCGCGUGCGGGAUGACGGCCUUCGGGUUGUAAACCGCUUUCGCCUGUGACGAAGCGUGAGUGACGGUAAUGGGUAAAGAAGCACCGGCUAACUACGUG